GGUCAUUUAGAGGAAGCAAAAGUCGUAACAAGGUUUCCGUAGGUGAACCUGCGGAAGGAUCAUUAGUGAAUUAUAGGGCGUCUACUUGUAGAGCCUGACCUCCACUUCUAACACUGUGCACUUGAUGGCGAGGUAAUGGAACUUUCGAGUGAAACUACCUUGCGGCUUCAUUUUAAACAUUAGUCAAAGUAUGUAAUGAAAUAAAAAACAAAAAAAAACUUUCAACAACGGAUCUCUUGGCUCUCGCAUCGAUGAAGAACGCAGCGAAAUGUGAUAAGUAAUGUGAAUUGCAGAAUUCAGUGAAUCAUCGAAUCUUUGAACGCACCUUGCGCUCCCUGGUAUUCCGGGGAGCAUGCCUGUUUGAGUGUCAUGAACUCUUCAACCCACCAGUUUCUAGUAGACUGCGUUGGUGUUUGGAUUUUGAGCGUUGCUAGUCUGACUAGCUCGUUCGUAAUAUAUUAGCAUCUCUAAUUCGAAUUCGGAUUGACUCAGUGUAAUAGACUAUUCGCUGAGGACACUUUUAUUAGUGGCCGUACUAGAACCAGUAGAAGCUUCCAACUAUUGUAGUCAACUUUAAUUUAGACCUCAGAUCAGGCAGGAUUACCCGCUGAACUUAAGCAUAUCAAUAAGCGGAGGA
This 637-nucleotide ribosomal RNA is filed under the name uncultured Rhodotorula. RNAcentral's name for it is "eukaryotic LSU rRNA". The stretch from base 217 to 370 matches the Rfam family "5.8S ribosomal RNA". Lineage: Eukaryota; Fungi; Basidiomycota. The record is from RNAcentral.